GUAGUUAGGAUUUAAAGCCUAACUAGCUAUAUGCACGUAGUCGUAACUGAAAGGUUGAUCGACCACAGUGGGCCUGAAGAAAGCCCAUGACGAUUGUCACAGCAGUGAGGAAUAUUGGUCAAUAGCCUAACGGCUGAACCAGCAACUUGGAGGAAUGUAUAGCAAUAGCUACUUGCAUCAUUGUAAUAUGAUGCAAGAUCGACUACGUCGAAUAAAAUUCUAGGUAGAAUUAUGAUAAUGACAUUGUCUGCCUAUGUGUCUUGACCAAAUUACGUGCCAGCAGUCGCGGUAAUACGUAGAAGACUAGUGUUAUUCAUGUUUAAUCGGUUUAAAGGGUACCUAGACGGUAAAUCAAGCCUAAAAGGAAAUAAAUGAAGGGACUAAUUUACUAGAGUUACUUAUGAGGGGGUAUUAAAGUACUGCUGGUGUAGAGAUGAAAUCUGUCAUACCUCUUUUCAAUAGAAAAAUAAUGGCACAGGUAUAGGCGAAAGCAUCCCCUUAUGUGAUAACUGACGUUGAGGGACGAAGGCUUUGUGUAGCGAACAGGAUUAGAUACCCCAGUAGUCAAAGCAGAAAAUGAUGAAUGUCAUAGAUUAGAUAUAUAAGUUUAUUCUAUAAAUGAAAGUGUAAGCAUUCCACCUCAAGAGUAAUUUGGCAACAUUGGAACUGAAAUCAUUAGACCGUUUCUGAAACCGUAGUGAAGUAUGUUGUUUAAUUUGAUGAUCCGCAAAAAACCUUACCACAAUUUGAAUAUUUAUAUCUUUUAUUG
Molecule: ribosomal RNA, 769 nt
Filed under: Cetraria annae
Lineage: Eukaryota; Fungi; Ascomycota; Lecanoromycetes; Lecanorales; Parmeliaceae
Description: SSU rRNA
Rfam family: Bacterial small subunit ribosomal RNA
Source: RNAcentral